ACUGACUCUCUUUUCGGAUCAGCCUGCCUGCACCAAGGUGAAAUAAACAGCCUUGUUGCUCACACAAAGCCUGUUUGGUGGUCUCUUCACACGGACGUGAGUGAAAUUUGGUGCUGUGACUCGGAUCAGGGGACCUCCCUCGGGAGAUCAAUCCUCUGUCCUCCUGCUCUUUACUCCAUGAGAGAGAUCCACCUACGACCUCGGGUCCUCAGACCAACCAGCCCAAGGAACAUCUCACCAAUUUUAAAUCGGGUAUACAUCCAGAUGGCCUGAAGUAACUGAAGAAUCACAAAAGAAGUGAGAAUGGCCUGUUCCUGCCUUAACUGAUGACACUGCCUUGUGAAAUUCCUUCUGGCUCAAAAUCUCCCCCAUUGAGCACCUUAUGACCCCCACCCCUACCAGCCAGAGAACAACCCCCUUUGACUGUAAUUUUCCAUUACCUACCCAAAUCCUAUAAAAUGGCCCCACCCCUAUCUCCCUUCACUGACUCUCUUUUCGGACUCAGCCCACCUGCACCCAGGUGAAAUAAACAGCCUUGUUGCUCACACAA
This 550-nucleotide long non-coding RNA is filed under the name Homo sapiens (human). RNAcentral describes it as "HSALNT0329678". The record is from RNAcentral. Lineage: Eukaryota; Metazoa; Chordata; Mammalia; Primates; Hominidae.